UACGUAGGGUGCGAGCGUUAAUCGGAAUUACUGGGCGUAAAGCGUGCGCAGGCGGCUUUGCAAGACAGAUGUGAAAUCCCCGGGCUCAACCUGGGAACUGCAUUUGUGACUGCAAGGCUAGAGUACGGCAGAGGGGGAUGGAAUUCCGCGUGUAGCAGUGAAAUGCGUAGAUAUGCGGAGGAACACCAAUGGCGAAGGCAAUCCCCUGGGCCUGUACUGACGCUCAUGCAGGAAAGCGUGGGGAGCAAACAGG
This 253-nucleotide ribosomal RNA is filed under the name uncultured bacterium. RNAcentral's name for it is "partial 16S ribosomal RNA". It matches the Rfam family "Bacterial small subunit ribosomal RNA", at positions 524 to 776 of the family's 1533-position model. The record is from RNAcentral.